GGUGUGGGGUCGCAGUGUUGCGGUGGGAUCACGGUGUUGUGGGGUCACGGUGUGGGGUCGCAGUGUUGCGGUGGGAUCACAGUGUUGUGGGGUGACCGGUUGGGGUCGCGGUGUCAUGGUGGGGUCACGGUGUCGUGGUGGGGUGACAGGGUAGUGUCGCAGUUUUGUGGUGGAGUCGUGGUAUCGUCAUGGGGGGACAGGGGGGUCGCGGUGUGUUGUGGUGGGGUCGCGGUGUGUUGUUGUGGGGUCACGGUGUUGUGGGGUCAUGGUUUUGAGUCGCGGUGUCGUGGUGGGGUCACGGUGUCGUGGUGGGGUCACAGAGCCAUGGUGUGGUGUCAUGGUGGCACUUUGGGGACAUUUAUGGCCACGUGGUGUCGUGGAGGCCAACGUGUUCCCUCCAUAGCCAUUGUAACCAUGACCUGGUGGCACUCUGGGGACAUUUAUGGCCACAUGACGUCAUGGAGGCCAACCUGUUCCCUCCAUAGCCGCCCUACCAAGACCUGGUGGCACUUUGGGGACAUUUAUGGCCACGUGAUGUCCUGGAGGCCAACCUGUUCCCUCCAUAGCCAUUGUAACCAAGACCUGGUGGCACUUUGGGGGACCCCGGUGAGACCUUGGAGGACCUCAGUGACACUUUGGGGGACCCCGGUGACACCUUGGGGGACCCCGAGGGUGGCAUUGGGGUGGUUGGAAGUGCCCUGGUGACACUU
This 710-nucleotide long non-coding RNA is filed under the name Numida meleagris (helmeted guineafowl). RNAcentral's name for it is "lncRNA (ENSNMEG00000002020.1)". Lineage: Eukaryota; Metazoa; Chordata; Aves; Galliformes; Numididae. The record is from RNAcentral.